Molecule: unclassified non-coding RNA, 389 nt
Filed under: uncultured fungus
Lineage: Eukaryota; Fungi
Description: partial contains small subunit ribosomal RNA, internal transcribed spacer 1, and 5.8S ribosomal RNA
Rfam family: Eukaryotic small subunit ribosomal RNA (bases 1-73)
Source: RNAcentral
GCAAACUUGGUCAUUUAGAGGAAGUAAAAGUCGUAACAAGGUUUCCGUAGGUGAACCUGCGGAAGGAUCAUUAUUGAAUAUUCCCUGAUGAGUUGUAGCUGGCCUCUUGGGGCAUGUGCACGCUUGUCUUUGUUCUAUUCAUCCACCUGUGCACCAUUUGUAGUCUUUGAAGGUUUGGGAGUAGUUUCAUCUAUCAGUCGAAAGGACUGGACGAGAGGAUUGCAUAGCUUUCCUCAUUAUUGGGCUGCGACAUUCCCUCAGAGCUCUACGUUUUUUAUAUUAUACACCGUAUGUUGCAGAAUGUAUUUAACAAAGGCCUUGUGCCUAUAAAACACUAUACAACUUUCAGCAACGGAUCUCUUGGCUCUCGCAUCGAUGAAGAACGCAGC